UAGACACCAUUAUAUGUGGAUUUGAAGAUUUCUCAUUGCCGGUCCCUAGGCCAGAGUGGAGCUCACUGUUCUGAACGACGCGCAAGGUAGUUUUGUGAUAUGGCCAUGUGCUUGGGUGCGAUUUUCAGAUAAGGCUUUGAAGAAAAAAACAGAAUCGGCCAAAAAAGUGAAGAAUUUGGAUGCGGACAAAGAGAGUUCGCAAGACAACCGAUCAAAAGAGAAUGAGGUGGACUCAAAAGCUAACAAUAACAAGGCGGAUUCACAACCUAAGAGUGUAGUUGUAGGUAAGAUUUCAUCUAAGGGCUCAUCUCCUGAUGUGAAUCCAAAAGGAACUCCACUUGUGUGUGAAAAAGUGCUCCAGUCUCUUAGCAAGUCAUGUUCUUGGCUACAUGCUCGUGUUACCAACUUGCCUGAUUCCUCCCCAAUAAAGGUUGAUUUGGAGAAAUCUCAAUUCCACUACUUAGAUGACGAUUCAGCUACUUGGGUAUAUAAAGUAGAUAUUCGUGAGUUCCUCUCCGGCGCGAUGUUAAAUGUAUCUAUAUUACAAGUCUUCAUGAGUGCACUUUACGAAGAUUUACUUGGAUGUGAUUCUGUUUCAAAAGUUGGGUGGUUAUGUCCACAAGAGAUUCGUGGUGACAAUUGCUUGAAGAACCAUGCUGAAGCGAAUGAGUACGUUGAAAGGAGUAUUACCGCAUGUGUUCGAUCUAAAGAUAACUAUAUUAUUGCCCCAUACCUUGAAGAGUAUGUUUUAGUACCUAG
Molecule: long non-coding RNA, 759 nt
Organism: Beta vulgaris subsp. vulgaris (sugar beet)
Lineage: Eukaryota; Viridiplantae; Streptophyta; Magnoliopsida; Caryophyllales; Amaranthaceae
Exons: 3
Source: RefSeq, a predicted model, not a curated record